GGUAUCCAUACCCCGUCCGGUAUGAGAGACCACGUUCCCGGUAGGGUUCCCUACGGACCCUGUCCGUCCACCAUCUCCCAGGAUAUCUAGUCAGGCUGUCCACAUUAUCCAUUUAUCAAUUCACAUAACAUUUUUGUCUUUUUUCUUGAUCUCAAUCAUCCAAUCAUACACAACAUGUAAACCAAUAAUUGACACCAAACAAGACGACACAGUAUCGGGUUCACCAUAAUACAAACCAAAAUAAAAGAAACCAUGAUUCAUGCAUACGAGACCAUAACAUAAUUACAUCAAACAUCAUACUGCAUUUAAUACUGAAAAUUAGAUCAAACAGCAACUGACCAACAAUGUAUUAGACUCGGGCUCAAUUGACAACCUUAAUCAAUUAUACAUCUAUAAAGUCACAAAAUACAGUUUAAUUAUUUAUUUAGCUUUAAUACCGU
RNAcentral lists this long non-coding RNA (440 nucleotides) under Carica papaya (papaya). RNAcentral describes it as "long non-coding RNA (CPAP_LNC002437)". The record is from RNAcentral. Lineage: Eukaryota; Viridiplantae; Streptophyta; Magnoliopsida; Brassicales; Caricaceae.